Molecule: long non-coding RNA, 2331 nt
Organism: Oncorhynchus mykiss (rainbow trout)
Lineage: Eukaryota; Metazoa; Chordata; Actinopteri; Salmoniformes; Salmonidae
Source: Ensembl
UAUACAGAACAGCAUUUGUGUGUGUGUGUGUGUGUGUGUGUGUGUGUGUGUGUGUGUGUGUGUGUGUGUGUGUGUGUGUGUGUGUGUGUGUGUGUGUGUGUGUGUGUGUGUGUGUGUGUGUGUGUGUUUUAUUGGAUUCACUCCAUUCUAUUCACUCCAUUCCAUUCACUCCAUUCUAUUCACUCCAUUCCAUUCACUCCAUUCCAUUCCAUUCACUCCAUUCCAUUCACUCCAUUCCGUUCCAUUCACUCCAUUCCAUUCACUCCAUUCCAUUCACUCCAUUCCAUUCCAUUCACUCCAUUCUAUUCUCUCCAUUCUAUUCACUCCAUUCCAUUCCAUUCACUCCAUUCCAUUCACUCCAUUCCAUUCUAUUCACUCCAUUCCAUUCACUCCAUUCUAUUCACUCCAUUCUAUUCACUCCAUUCCAUUCCAUUCACUCCAUUCCAUUCACUCCAUUCCAUUCCAUUCACUCCAUUCCAUUUCAUUUAUUCCAUUCCAUUCACUCCAUUCCAUUCACUCCAUUCCAUUCCAUUCACUCCAUUCUAUUCACUCCAUUCUAUUCACUCCAUUCCAUUCCAUUCACUCCAUUCUAUUCACUCCAUUCCAUUCACUCCAUUCCAUUCCAUUCACUCCAUUCCAUUCACACCAUUCCAUUCACUCCAUUCCGUUCCAUUCACUCCAUUCCAUUCACUCCAUUCCAUUCACUCCAUUCCAUUCACUCCAUUCUAUUCACUCCAUUCCAUUCACUCCAUUCCGUUCCAUUCACUCCAUUCCAUUAUAUUCCAUUUCAUUCACUCCAUUCCAUUCAUUCCAUUCCAUUCACUCCAUUCCAUUCACUCCAUUCCAUUCACACCAUUCCAUUCACUCCAUUCCGUUCCAUUCACUCCAUUCCAUUCACUCCAUUCCAUUCCAUUCCAUUCACUCCAUUCUAUUCACUCCAUUCCAUUCACUCCAUUCCGUUCCAUUCACUCCAUUCCAUUCCAUUCCAUUUCAUUCACUCCAUUCCAUUCAUUCCAUUCCAUUCACUCAAUUUCAUUCACUCCAAUUAAUUCACUCCACUCCAUUCCAUUCACUCCAUUCCAUUCACUCCAUUCCAUUCCAUUCACUCCAUUCUAUUCACUCCAUUCCAUUCACUCCAUUCCAUUCCAUUCACUCCAAUUCAUUCACUCCACUCCAUUCCAUUCACUCCAUUCCAUUCACUCCAUUCCAUUCCGUUCCAUUCACUCCAUUCCAUUCCAUUCACUGAAUUCCAUUCCAUUCCAUUCACUCCAUUCCAUUCCGUUCUAUUCCCUUCACUCCAUUCCGUUCCAUUCACUCCAUUCCAUUCACUCCAUUCCAUUCCAUUCACUCCAUUCCAUUCCAUUCACUCCAUUCCAUUCCAUUCUAUUCCCUUCACUCCAUUCCAUUCCAUUCUAUUCACUCCAUUCCAUUCACUCCAUUCCAUUCCAUUCACUCCAUUCCAUUCACUCCAUUCCAUUCACUCCAUUCCGUUCCAUUCACUCCAUUCUAUUCACUCCAUUCCAUUCACUCCAUUCCAUUCACUCCAUUCCAUUCCAUUCACUCCAUUCCAUUCACUCCAUUCCAUUCCAUUCCAUUCACUCCAUUCCAUUCCAUUCACUCCAUUCCAUUCCAUUAUAUUCCAUUCACUCCAUUCCAUUCCAUUCCAUUCACUCCAUUCCAUUCCAUUCACUCCAUUCCAUUCCAUUCCAUUCUAUUCACUCCAUUCCAUUCCAUUCACUCCAUUCCAUUCCAUUCCCUUCACUCCAUUCCAUUCUAUUCCAUUCACUCCAUUCCAUUCACUCCAUUUCAUUCCAUUCACUCCAUUCCAUUCCAUUCCAUUCACUCCAUUCCAUUCUAUUCACUCCAUUCCAUUCCAUUCACUCCAUUCCAUUCCAUUCUAUUCACUCCAUUCCAUUCCAUUCACUCCAUUCCAUUCCAUUCCCUUCACUCCAUUCCAUUCUAUUCCAUUCCAUUCACUCCAUUCCAUUCACUCCAUUCCAUUCCAUUCACUCCAUUCCAUUCCAUUCUAUUCCAUUCACUCCAUUCCAUUCACUCCAUUCCAUUCCAUUCACUCCAUUCCAUUCCAUUCCAUUCUAUUCCAUUUACUCCAUUCCAUUCUAUUCCAUUCACUCCAUUCCAUUCUAUUCCAUUCACUCCAUUCCAUUCUAUUCCAUUCACUCCAUUCCAGCCAUUAUGAUGAGCCGUCCUCCUCUCAGCAGCCUCCUGUGCUGUGUGUGUUUGUGUAAGUGUGUGUUUAUUUGUGCCUGUGGGUUUUUAUCAGAGACAAGGUCACCCUCAAGGCGACUCGGAGCCUUGUCGCCGUCUCUGUAA